RNAcentral lists this small nuclear RNA (25 nucleotides) under Arabidopsis thaliana (thale cress). Its description in RNAcentral is "snRNA_10136". The record is from RNAcentral. Lineage: Eukaryota; Viridiplantae; Streptophyta; Magnoliopsida; Brassicales; Brassicaceae.
GGAUGCGAUCAUACCAGCACUAAUG